Molecule: unclassified non-coding RNA, 240 nt
Filed under: Hevea brasiliensis (rubber tree)
Lineage: Eukaryota; Viridiplantae; Streptophyta; Magnoliopsida; Malpighiales; Euphorbiaceae
Source: RNAcentral
UAUCACUGCAAUGGCUGAGGGGCUGAACUCUACGUUGUAUAAUCACUUUCUUGUUCUCCUUUGGCGCAAUGGAGAUCAUACAUAUCUGAGUGGGGCGGAUAUGACUGCUGAUUCUGAGUGGGAAUCCUUUCAAAGCGUAAUUAAACAAAUAUGCAAAGAGUCUGGUCAUACUUCUGAAAAACUUUCAGAUUCUGUUUCAUGCUCUUCAUGGGAGUUUCUUAUUAAUAGCAGAUAUCACAA